RNAcentral lists this transfer RNA (69 nucleotides) under Penelopina nigra. RNAcentral's name for it is "tRNA-His". The record is from RNAcentral. Lineage: Eukaryota; Metazoa; Chordata; Aves; Galliformes; Cracidae.
GCAGCUAUAAUCUAUCUCAAAUAAUUGAUUGUGAUUCCAAAAAUAGAAGUUCAACCCUUCUUACCUGCC